Molecule: long non-coding RNA, 202 nt
Filed under: Musa acuminata (dwarf banana)
Lineage: Eukaryota; Viridiplantae; Streptophyta; Magnoliopsida; Zingiberales; Musaceae
Description: long non-coding RNA (MACU_LNC011626)
Source: RNAcentral
AGCCCUCAAUAAAGGUCCCCAAUAGUUGUUUUUCAGACCAAUCACGAGUUUGAUUAGAUAACCUUUCAAACCUGGUUUGGUACUCCUGAAUGGUGGAGGUUUAUCGGAUCUUUGCUAGUUGUCCGUCAAUGUUCUCGUAAUAAGUUGGUCCAAAGCGGUUCAGCAGUCCUUCUUUGAAUUGUCACCAUGAAAGGACUCCAUA